UGGGGAAUCUUGGACAAUGGGGAAACCCUGAUCCAGCGAUGCCGCGUGAGCGAAGAAGGCCUUAGGGUUGUAAAGCUCUUUCGCCCGCGACGAUAAUGACGGUAGCGGGAGAAGAAGCCCCGGCUAACUCCGUGCCAGCAGCCGCGGUAAUACGGAGGGGGCUAGCGUUGUCCGGAAUUACUGGGCGUAAAGCGCGCGUAGGUGGUCCGCCAAGUCGGGGUGAAAGCCCAGGGCUCAACCCUGGAAUUGCCUCCGAGACUGAUGGACUCGAGUUCGGGAGAGGAGAGCGGAAUUCCCAGUGUAGAGGUGAAAUUCGUAGAUAUUGGAAGAACACCGGUGGCGAAGGCGGCUCUUCUUGGCCCGCAACUGACGCUGAGGCGCGAAAGCGU
This 389-nucleotide ribosomal RNA is filed under the name uncultured Alphaproteobacteria bacterium. RNAcentral's name for it is "bacterial SSU rRNA". It matches the Rfam family "Bacterial small subunit ribosomal RNA", at positions 355 to 762 of the family's 1533-position model. Lineage: Bacteria; Pseudomonadati; Pseudomonadota; Alphaproteobacteria. The record is from RNAcentral.